RNAcentral lists this ribosomal RNA (497 nucleotides) under uncultured bacterium. RNAcentral's name for it is "partial 16S ribosomal RNA". It matches the Rfam family "Bacterial small subunit ribosomal RNA", at positions 28 to 507 of the family's 1533-position model. The record is from RNAcentral.
GAUGGACGCUGGCGGCGUGCCUAAUACAUGCAAGUCGAGCGAACAGACGAGGAGCUUGCUCCUCUGACGUUAGCGGCGGACGGGUGAGUAACACGUGGAUAACCUACCUAUAAGACUGGGAUAACUUCGGGAAACCGGAGCUAAUACCGGAUAAUAUAUUGAACCGCAUGGUUCAAUAGUGAAAGACGGUUUUGCUGUCACUUAUAGAUGGAUCCGCGCCGCAUUAGCUAGUUGGUAAGGUAACGGCUUACCAAGGCAACGACGCGUAGCCGACCUGAGAGGGUGAUCGGCCACACUGGAACUGAGACACGGUCCAGACUCCUACGGGAGGCAGCAGUAGGGAAUCUUCCGCAAUGGGCGAAAGCCUGACGGAGCAACGCCGCGUGAGUGAUGAAGGUCUUCGGAUCGUAAAACUCUGUUAUUAGGGAAGAACAAAUGUGUAAGUAACUAUGCACGUCUUGACGGUACCUAAUCAGAAAGCCACGGCUAACUACGUG